AUUGAACGCUGGCGGCAUGCCUUACACAUGCAAGUCGAACGGCAGCACGGGUGCUUGCACCUGGUGGCGAGUGGCGAACGGGUGAGUAAUACAUCGGAACGUACCUUAUCGUGGGGGAUAACGCAGCGAAAGUUGCGCUAAUACCGCAUACGCCCUGAGGGGGAAAGCGGGGGACCGUAAGGCCUCGCGCGAUUAGAGCGGCCGAUGUCUGAUUAGCUUGUUGGUGAGGUAAAAGCUCACCAAGGCGAUGAUCAGUAGCUGGUCGGAGAGGACGAUCAGCCACACCGGGACUGAGACACGGCCCAGACUCCUACGGGAGGCAGCAGUGGGGAAUUUUGGACAAUGGGGGCAACCCUGAUCCAGCAAUGCCGCGUGAGUGAAGAAGGCCUUCGGGUUGUAAAGCUCUUUUGUCAGGGAAGAAACAGCAGCUCUAACACAGUCUGCGAAUGACGGUACCUGAAGAAUAAGCACCGGCUAACUACGUGCCAGCAGCCGCCGUAA
Molecule: ribosomal RNA, 501 nt
Filed under: uncultured bacterium
Lineage: Bacteria
Description: partial 16S ribosomal RNA
Rfam family: Bacterial small subunit ribosomal RNA
Source: RNAcentral